ACUCAACAGAUAAUUCUUUAAAGAGGGUGAGUCUAAGUUGUAAAAGCGCGCCGUUCCCUUUUAGGGAUUACGGAUUCUUGAUCAGCUUGUUAGCCCUAAACCUGAUUUUAAGGAGUUU
Molecule: small RNA, 118 nt
Filed under: Zunongwangia profunda
Lineage: Bacteria; Pseudomonadati; Bacteroidota; Flavobacteriia; Flavobacteriales; Flavobacteriaceae
Also listed under: 2 other names
Description: 6S RNA
Rfam family: 6S-Flavo RNA
Source: RNAcentral